Molecule: ribosomal RNA, 460 nt
Filed under: uncultured bacterium
Lineage: Bacteria
Description: partial 16S ribosomal RNA
Rfam family: Bacterial small subunit ribosomal RNA
Source: RNAcentral
CCUACGGGAGGCAGCAGUGAGGAAUAUUGGUCAAUGGACGCGAGUCUGAACCAGCCAAGUAGCGUGAAGGAUGACGGCUCUAUGGGUUGUAAACUUCUUUUAUACAGGAAUAAACCGAGGUACGCGUGUCUUUUUGCAAGUACUUUAUGAAUAAGGAUCGGCUAACUCCGUGCCAGCAGCCGCGGUAAUACGGAGGAUCCAAGCGUUAUCCGGAUUUAUUGGGUUUAAAGGGUGCGUAGGCGGAUUGAUAAGUUAGAGGUGAAAUGUCCGGGCUUAACUUGGGAACUGCCUCUAAUACUGUUGGGCUAGAGAGUAGAUGCGGUAGGCGGAAUGUAUGGUGUAGCGGUGAAAUGCUUAGAGAUCAUACAGAACACCGAUUGCGAAGGCAGCUUACCAAUCUAUAUCUGACGUUGAGGCACGAAAGCGUGGGGAGCAAACAGGAUUAGAUACCCCCAUAGUC